This 396-nucleotide ribosomal RNA is filed under the name uncultured Streptococcus sp. Its description in RNAcentral is "bacterial SSU rRNA". It matches the Rfam family "Bacterial small subunit ribosomal RNA", at positions 995 to 1393 of the family's 1533-position model. The record is from RNAcentral. Lineage: Bacteria; Bacillati; Bacillota; Bacilli; Lactobacillales; Streptococcaceae.
CUUUUCUAGAGAUAGGAAGUUACUUCGGUACAUCGGUGACAGGUGGUGCAUGGUUGUCGUCAGCUCGUGUCGUGAGAUGUUGGGUUAAGUCCCGCAACGAGCGCAACCCCUAUUGUUAGUUGCCAUCAUUCAGUUGGGCACUCUAGCGAGACUGCCGGUAAUAAACCGGAGGAAGGUGGGGAUGACGUCAAAUCAUCAUGCCCCUUAUGACCUGGGCUACACACGUGCUACAAUGGUUGGUACAACGAGUUGCGAGUCGGUGACGGCGAGCUAAUCUCUUAAAGCCAAUCUCAGUUCGGAUUGUAGGCUGCAACUCGCCUACAUGAAGUCGGAAUCGCUAGUAAUCGCGGAUCAGCACGCCGCGGUGAAUACGUUCCCGGGUCUUGUACACACCGA